This 224-nucleotide ribosomal RNA is filed under the name uncultured bacterium. RNAcentral describes it as "partial 16S ribosomal RNA". It matches the Rfam family "Bacterial small subunit ribosomal RNA", at positions 15 to 229 of the family's 1533-position model. The record is from RNAcentral.
GAUCCUGGCUCAGGAUGAACGCUAGCGGCAGGCCUAAUACAUGCAAGUCGGACGGGAUCCAUCGGAGAGCUUGCUCGAGGAUGGUGAGAGUGGCGCACGGGUGCGUAACGCGUGAGCAACCUACCUCUAUCAGGGGGAUAGCCUCUCGAAAGAGAGAUUAACACCGCAUAACAUCAACAGUUCGCAUGUUCGGUUGAUUAAAAUAUUUAUAGGAUAGAGAUGGG